RNAcentral lists this ribosomal RNA (465 nucleotides) under Vreelandella stevensii. RNAcentral's name for it is "partial 16S ribosomal RNA". It matches the Rfam family "Bacterial small subunit ribosomal RNA", at positions 338 to 795 of the family's 1533-position model. The record is from RNAcentral. Lineage: Bacteria; Pseudomonadati; Pseudomonadota; Gammaproteobacteria; Oceanospirillales; Halomonadaceae.
CCUACGGGGGGCAGCAGUGGGGAAUAUUGGACAAUGGGGGCAACCCUGAUCCAGCCAUGCCGCGUGUGUGAAGAAGGCCCUCGGGUUGUAAAGCACUUUCAGUGAGGAAGAACGCCUGGUGGUUAAUACCCAUCAGGAAAGACAUCACUCACAGAAGAAGCACCGGCUAACUCCGUGCCAGCAGCCGCGGUAAUACGGAGGGUGCGAGCGUUAAUCGGAAUUACUGGGCGUAAAGCGCGCGUAGGUGGCUUGAUAAGCCGGUUGUGAAAGCCCCGGGCUCAACCUGGGAACGGCAUCCGGAACUGUCAAGCUAGAGUGCAGGAGAGGAAGGUAGAAUUCCCGGUGUAGCGGUGAAAUGCGUAGAGAUCGGGAGGAAUACCAGUGGCGAAGGCGGCCUUCCGGACUGACACUGACACUGAGGUGCGAAAGCGUGGGUAGCAAACAGGAUUAGAUACCCCUGUAGUC